Molecule: non-coding RNA, 254 nt
Filed under: Microbulbifer rhizosphaerae
Lineage: Bacteria; Pseudomonadati; Pseudomonadota; Gammaproteobacteria; Cellvibrionales; Microbulbiferaceae
Source: RNAcentral
CCAGUCCCACCAUGACCAAAGCCUAGCCAGCAGGUCAGUAGUGAAGCCCGGGUGCGAUCUUGGUAACAAGGUGUGCGGAGCAAGGGUGGAGCGAGAGUGUAGGCCAUUUAUUGAGCCCCGAAAUAUUGUAGAGUGGCGGUCAUUUGGAUAACCAUUGAUAGAUGGGAAAGCUAACGGUUUGCCUGUGUGCCGGAAAGCAGCAGUCUCAGUAACGCCUUGGCAAGUUGCUGCGACACCGCCGGGGUCUGAGAACA